RNAcentral lists this ribosomal RNA (484 nucleotides) under uncultured bacterium. RNAcentral's name for it is "partial 16S ribosomal RNA". It matches the Rfam family "Bacterial small subunit ribosomal RNA", at positions 30 to 507 of the family's 1533-position model. The record is from RNAcentral.
AUUGAACGCUGGCGGCAGGCCUAACACAUGCCAGUCGAGCGGAUGAAGGGAGCUUGCUCCUGGAUUCAGCGGCGGACGGGUGAGUAAUGCCUAGGAAUCUGCCUGGUAGUGGGGGAUAACGUCCGGAAACGGGCGCUAAUACCGCAUACGUCCUGAGGGAGAAAGUGGGGGAUCUUCGGACCUCACGCUAUCAGAUGAGCCUAGGUCGGAUUAGCUAGUUGGUGGGGUAAAGGCCUACCAAGGCGACGAUCCGUAACUGGUCUGAGAGGAUGAUCAGUCACACUGGAACUGAGACACGGUCCAGACUCCUACGGGAGGCAGCAGUGGGGAAUAUUGGACAAUGGGCGAAAGCCUGAUCCAGCCAUGCCGCGUGUGUGAAGAAGGUCUUCGGAUUGUAAAGCACUUUAAGUGGGGAGGAAGGGCAGUAAGUUAAGACCUUGCUGUUUUGACGUUACCAACAGAAUAAGCACCGGCUAACUUCGUG